GCCGAGUGCGGGACUGGGGCUCCUGGCUGUGGGUGUGGUACUGAGGCUUCAGCCGGUGCCACCAGCCUAGAGGGAGUGGAGCGAUUUUCCUUUCAGAGAGCCUACGACUAGAUUUGCAUCUUUACGUCCUGCACGGAGGCUGCUACACACAUGCAGAAGUCAUGCUGGUGGCCUGGACAGUGAAGGGAGAGAAGUGGAUUUGGGAGACAUUUAGGAGGUGCUGUUGUAGGCGCAAGGGAUACAAUGAUGAUCAAGGCAGAUGCAGCCGUUACCUUCAGGUUGUGGAGUCCGGAUACAGACUGGAGGCAGGCAGCUGUAAGAUGUGUGACAAAUGCUGCGCUGGAUCAGCCCAUGGUAUUAGGAGAGCAGGUAAGGAAGGGUGGGGACGGGAGCGGACAACCUGGAGGAAGAGGCACCUAAGCAGAGUCCGGAAGGCUGAGGAGGAGUCAGCAGGUAAAAGAGAGGGGAAUCAUGACAUGCCAUCUCAACUGUAGGGCACGGCUAGCUGGCUGACUUAGCUGCUGUAACACUGGAUUUUUGCAAGAGUCCCUGAGUAUUUCUCGUGGACUUGCGAACAAAUCUGAGCAAGAAAACCACGUAAUUUCUUUUAUGCCCUGCCCAAGAAAGCCACCUGGAGGGGCAAGGGGACCUUAGCAGAAAGAAGCUGGAGGUGGGGGGAGAGCAG
Gorilla gorilla gorilla (western lowland gorilla) is the source of this 685-nucleotide long non-coding RNA. RefSeq lists it as uncharacterized. The record is from RefSeq and is a predicted model, not a curated record. The transcript is spliced from 3 exons. NCBI's taxonomy places the organism in Eukaryota, Metazoa, Chordata, Mammalia, Primates, Hominidae.